UUAAAUUGAAGAGUUUGAUCAUGGCUCAGAUUGAACGCUGGCGGCAGGCCUAACACAUGCAAGUCGAACGGUAACAGGAAGCAGCUUGCUGCUUUGCUGACGAGUGGCGGACGGGUGAGUAAUGUCUGGGAAACUGCCUGAUGGAGGGGGAUAACUACUGGAAACGGUGGCUAAUACCGCAUAACGUCGCAAGACCAAAGAGGGGGACCUUCGGGCCUCUUGCCAUCAGAUGUGCCCAGAUGGGAUUAGCUUGUUGGUGAGGUAACGGCUCACCAAGGCGACGAUCCCUAGCUGGUCUGAGAGGAUGACCAGCCACACUGGAACUGAGACACGGUCCAGACUCCUACGGGAGGCAGCAGUGGGGAAUAUUGCACAAUGGGCGCAAGCCUGAUGCAGCCAUGCCGCGUGUAUGAAGAAGGCCUUCGGGUUGUAAAGUACUUUCAGCGGGGAGGAAGGUGUUGUGGUUAAUAACCGCAGCAAUUGACGUUACCCGCAGAAGAAGCACCGGCUAACUCCGUGCCAGCAGCCGCGGUAAUACGGAGGGUGCAAGCGUUAAUCGGAAUUACUGGGCGUAAAGCGCACGCAGGCGGUCUGUCAAGUCGGAUGUGAAAUCCCCGGGCUCAACCUGGGAACUGCAUUCGAAACUGGCAGGCUUGAGUCUUGUAGAGGGGGGUAGAAUUCCAGGUGUAGCGGUGAAAUGCGUAGAGAUCUGGAGGAAUACCGGUGGCGAAGGCGGCCCCCUGGACAAAGACUGACGCUCAGGUGCGAAAGCGUGGGGAGCAAACAGGAUUAGAUACCCUGGUAGUCCACGCCGUAAACGAUGUCUACUUGGAGGUUGUGCCCUUGAGGCGUGGCUUCCGGAGCUAACGCGUUAAGUAGACCGCCUGGGGAGUACGGCCGCAAGGUUAAAACUCAAAUGAAUUGACGGGGGCCCGCACAAGCGGUGGAGCAUGUGGUUUAAUUCGAUGCAACGCGAAGAACCUUACCUGGUCUUGACAUCCACGGAAGAAUUCAGAGAUGGAUUUGUGCCUUCGGGAACCGUGAGACAGGUGCUGCAUGGCUGUCGUCAGCUCGUGUUGUGAAAUGUUGGGUUAAGUCCCGCAACGAGCGCAACCCUUAUCCUUUGUUGCCAGCGAUUCGGUCGGGAACUCAAAGGAGACUGCCAGUGAUAAACUGGAGGAAGGUGGGGAUGACGUCAAGUCAUCAUGGCCCUUACGACCAGGGCUACACACGUGCUACAAUGGCGCAUACAAAGAGAAGCGACCUCGCGAGAGCAAGCGGACCUCAUAAAGUGCGUCGUAGUCCGGAUUGGAGUCUGCAACUCGACUCCAUGAAGUCGGAAUCGCUAGUAAUCGUGGAUCAGAAUGCCACGGUGAAUACGUUCCCGGGCCUUGUACACACCGCCCGUCACACCAUGGGAGUGGGUUGCAAAAGAAGUAGGUAGCUUAACCUUCGGGAGGGCGCUUACCACUUUGUGAUUCAUGACUGGGGUGAAGUCGUAACAAGGUAACCGUAGGGGAACCUGCGGUUGGAUCACCUCCUUACCUUAAAGAAGC
Molecule: ribosomal RNA, 1556 nt
Filed under: Salmonella enterica subsp. enterica serovar Montevideo str. CDC 08-1942
Lineage: Bacteria; Pseudomonadati; Pseudomonadota; Gammaproteobacteria; Enterobacterales; Enterobacteriaceae
Also listed under: 1 other name
Description: bacterial SSU rRNA
Rfam family: Bacterial small subunit ribosomal RNA
Source: RNAcentral